ACCCGGUCCCAUUCCGAACCCGGUAGUUAAGCCCUUCAGCGCCGAUGGUACUGCAUGGGUGACUGUGUGGGAGAGUAGGACGCCGCCGGAC
This 91-nucleotide ribosomal RNA is filed under the name Actinomadura viridilutea. Lineage: Bacteria; Bacillati; Actinomycetota; Actinomycetes; Streptosporangiales; Thermomonosporaceae. The record is from RNAcentral.